RNAcentral lists this ribosomal RNA (166 nucleotides) under uncultured bacterium. RNAcentral's name for it is "partial 16S ribosomal RNA". It matches the Rfam family "Bacterial small subunit ribosomal RNA", at positions 1333 to 1500 of the family's 1533-position model. The record is from RNAcentral.
UGCUAGUAAUCGCGGAUCAGCAUGCCGCGGUGAAUACGUUCCCGGGCCUUGUACACACCGCCCGUCACACCAUGGGAGUCGGUAACACCCGAAGCCGAUAGUCUAACAGCAAUGGGGCGCGGCCGAAGGUGGGUUCGAUAAUUGGGUGAAGUCGUAACAAGGUAUC